GUGUAAUGAAAGAUCGUGUGCAGCGACAAUGCAAUUUGAAUUAACUCGCGCUCGAAUUGGCGUCCAAGCCCGUUAUAUUUCGCAAUACACAGCAGAAAAAAUGUUAGUCUAUCAUAGCUGAGAUUUUGAUACUGAGCUUUUACCACCGUUUAGUGGUCAAUCUUCAAGGCUUGGCAGUCGAUAGCUUUCAGCUCAGUUAGCUGCUUAAUUCAGCGCAGAUGAGACGUGUGUGCGUGCGUGUGUGUUUAUAAAUUAAGAUCGUGUGUGAAAACGCAGUAGAGUACUUAACUCGCAUCGCAAACAAGGAAUUGAAGAACUGCAGUCGAACUCUGAUUGUCAGAUUUUGCAAAAGAUAUUGUAAAGUAAACAGCUUUUCACUCGAAAGUGAACUCCAAUUGGAAUGUGCUCAAAACGAAGCAUUACAGCCCGGAGCGGAUCGAACUAGUAUAAAUCAACAGGCUGCCAAAGCAAAAGCAAUCAAUAAGUACGAGUGUCACAG
Drosophila virilis is the source of this 499-nucleotide non-coding RNA. NCBI's taxonomy places the organism in Eukaryota, Metazoa, Arthropoda, Insecta, Diptera, Drosophilidae. The record is from RefSeq and is a predicted model, not a curated record.